RNAcentral lists this ribosomal RNA (459 nucleotides) under uncultured bacterium. Its description in RNAcentral is "partial 16S ribosomal RNA". It matches the Rfam family "Bacterial small subunit ribosomal RNA", at positions 338 to 795 of the family's 1533-position model. The record is from RNAcentral.
CCUACGGGUGGCAGCAGUGAGGAAUAUUGGUCAAUGGCCGAGAGUCUGAACCAGCCAAGUCGCGUGAAGGAAGACGGCCCUACGGGUUGUAAACCUCUUUUGUCUGGGAGCAAAGAGAGUCACGUGUGACUCUUUGAGAGUACCCGAAGAAAACGCAUCAGUUAACUCCGUGCCAGCAGCCGCGGUAAUACGGAGGAUGAGAGCGUUAUCCGGAUUUAUUGGGUUUAAAGGGUGCGCAGGAGGAGGUGGAAGUCAGCGGGAAAAUUUGGGGGCUCAACCCCGUACUGCCGUUGACACUGCAACCCUUGAGUGCACGAGAUGUAUGCGGAAGGCGUGGUGGAGCGGUGAAAUGCAUAGAUAUCACGAAGAACUCCGAUUGCGAAGGCAGCUGACCGGCGCGCAACUGACACUCAUGCACGAAAGCGUGGGUAUCGAACAGGAUUAGAUACCCCUGUAGUC